UACAGAGGGGGCAAGCGUUGUUCGGAAUUACUGGGCGUAAAGGGCGCGUAGGCGGCCCGCUAAGUCGAACGUGAAAUCCCCGAGCUCAACUCGGGAACUGCGUCCGAUACUGGUUGGCUUGAGUUCGGGAGAGGGAUGCGGAAUUCCAGGUGUAGCGGUGAAAUGCGUAGAUAUCUGGAGGAACACCGGUGGCGAAGGCGGCAUCCUGGACCGACACUGACACUGAGGAGCGAAAGCCAGGGGAGCAAACGGG
This 253-nucleotide ribosomal RNA is filed under the name uncultured bacterium. Its description in RNAcentral is "partial 16S ribosomal RNA". It matches the Rfam family "Bacterial small subunit ribosomal RNA", at positions 524 to 776 of the family's 1533-position model. The record is from RNAcentral.